CAGUCGCCGCGGUAAUACGUAGGUGGCAAGCGUUGUCCGGAAUUAUUGGGCGUAAAGGGCUCGCAGGCGGUUUCUUAAGUCUGAUGUGAAAGCCCCCGGCUCAACCGGGGAGGGUCAUUGGAAACUGGGAAACUUGAGUGCAGAAGAGGAAAGUGGAAUUCCACGUGUAGCGGUGAAAUGCGUAGAGAUGUGGAGGAACACCAGUGGCGAAGGCGACUCUCUGGUCUGUAACUGACGCUGAGGAGCGAAAGCGUGGGGAGCGAACAGGAUUAGAUACCCCCGUAGUCCCUGUCUCUUAUAC
RNAcentral lists this ribosomal RNA (301 nucleotides) under uncultured bacterium. RNAcentral describes it as "partial 16S ribosomal RNA". It matches the Rfam family "Bacterial small subunit ribosomal RNA", at positions 509 to 807 of the family's 1533-position model. The record is from RNAcentral.